Molecule: long non-coding RNA, 1001 nt
Filed under: Oreochromis niloticus (Nile tilapia)
Lineage: Eukaryota; Metazoa; Chordata; Actinopteri; Cichliformes; Cichlidae
Description: lncRNA (ENSONIG00000027941.1)
Source: RNAcentral
CGCACUAUUCACUUUACAAGGGGCCAGAGAAUUCAGCAGACGAACCGGUACCGAAACCAGACUCUGCGCAGGAGACAAUACGACCGACACCGAGGGAGUCAACCGGGAUCGGGAACACACGUCCAUCGUGUCUGCCGAUACCAACAUGUCCGUGACUCAAGCUCAGGUGGACGAGAUACUCAAGCUCCUGCAAAAACAGCAGCCCCAGCAGCAAGAUAUUCAACAGACCCCGCUGUGCACGUUGAAUCACUUGCAACCCAGCCCGAUGAUGUAUCAGUGGCAGACGCAACGCCAACCAAAUGACCCAUCUCAUCACCAAAGAUACGGACACACAGGGUUUAAUGGCGUACACCCUACGUCUUCCUACAGCGGUUACGGUGACAGCCAGUUGGAUUAUGAUAAUUUGACUCAGGAACAGAGAAGGAAGAUCGCCCUGGCGUACAACAAAAAACAAGACGAAAAGCAGGCUGCACUGCAAAAAGAGCACAAUAGGAUGUUAGAGUCCAUCAAAGCAAGCAUAAGGGACGCCAUCAAGGAACAACAACAACAACAACAACCACCUCAACCAGUGACUCUCGAGCCGCAGGGUGACCGAUGUGAGACGCUACACACUCUGGCAAUGGGUACACCCUACAAACGAGUCACUCGGGAUCGAGGCUCUGUUUCAAACGAGAACAACAUAGCGACCCUGACGCGUGAGCUUUGUGAACUCAGGGAACUGACUGAGGAACUCUCCAGACGAGACGAAAAGCCAAAGCAGGUUCUCAACACUGAGAAUCAGACCUCUGACAUGGAAGCUGAAAACAGCGAGGCGACAACCUCGAUCCCCGAGCCGUCUCUUGUCAGUAACAUGAAGCAACAGGCCGGUUACGGUAGUGCUAAACAAGCUGAGACCAAAAGGCCUGUUAGAGACUCGGUGUCGGAUUUCAUAGCAGCCGUUGUCACAAAAGACUGAAUGUGUGUUGAUUCAUAUGUUGCAUUAAAAAGAAAUAAAAAUAAAU